Molecule: ribosomal RNA, 279 nt
Filed under: Triticum aestivum (bread wheat)
Lineage: Eukaryota; Viridiplantae; Streptophyta; Magnoliopsida; Poales; Poaceae
Description: partial small subunit ribosomal RNA
Source: RNAcentral
AUGAAUAUUUUGGCAUGGAACUAUCAAGGACCGGGGUUGGACUCGACAGUAGGCAAGCUACAUGAUAUGAUUAGGUCCUACAACCCAAUGGUGGUGUUCUUGACCAAAACAAAGAAGAAGACUAGUGCUAUGGAGAGACUAAAAUGGAGACUAGGAUUCCGCAAUGGUGUUGUCAUGGAUUGUGAGGGCCUCGGUGGGGGUCUUGCACUAUGGUGGAGAGACAACAUUCAGGUGACAGUUAGACCACGGUGUCAGUAUUUUAUUGACGGGAAGAUAUAG